UACAGAGACCUCAAGCAUUAUCCGGAUUUAUUGGGCGUAAAGGGUCCGCAGGCGGUCAUGCGCGUCGAUGGUUAAAUUUUCGGGCUCAACUCGGAAACCGCUGUCGAAACGGCAUGACUAGAGGGUGGGAGAGGUACGCGGAAUUGCCGGUGUAGUAGUAAUAUGCGUUGAUAUCGGCAAGAACACCAAAUGCGAAGGCAGCGUACUAGAACACACCUGACGCUCAGGGACGAAAGCGUGGGGAG
RNAcentral lists this ribosomal RNA (245 nucleotides) under uncultured bacterium. RNAcentral describes it as "partial 16S ribosomal RNA". It matches the Rfam family "Bacterial small subunit ribosomal RNA", at positions 524 to 768 of the family's 1533-position model. The record is from RNAcentral.